This 484-nucleotide ribosomal RNA is filed under the name uncultured bacterium. Its description in RNAcentral is "partial 16S ribosomal RNA". It matches the Rfam family "Bacterial small subunit ribosomal RNA", at positions 30 to 507 of the family's 1533-position model. The record is from RNAcentral.
AUUGAACGCUGGCGGCAGGCCUAACACAUGCAAGUCGAGCGGAUGAAGGGAGCUUGCUCCUGGAUUCAGCGGCGGACGGGUGAGUAAUGCCUAGGAAUCUGCCUGGUAGUGGGGGAUAACGUCCGGAAACGGGCGCUAAUACCGCAUACGUCCUGAGGGAGAAAGUGGGGGAUCUUCGGACCUCACGCUAUCAGAUGAGCCUAGGUCGGAUUAGCUAGUUGGUGGGGUAAAGGCCUACCAAGGCGACGAUCCGUAACUGGUCUGAGAGGAUGAUCAGUCACACUGGAACGGAGACACGGUCCAGACUCCUACGGGAGGCAGCAGUGGGGAAUAUUGGACAAUGGGCGAAAGCCUGAUCCAGCCAUGCCGCGUGUGUGAAGAAGGUCUUCGGAUUGUAAAGCACUUCAAGUUGGGAGGAAGGGCAGUAAGUUAAUACCUUGCUGUUUUGACGUUACCAACAGAAUAAGCACCGGCUAACUUCGUG